GGGAACACGAAUACAUUGGCGGGUAAUGUACCACCGAAGGCGAAUCUCGGUGAUUUGAGGGGUUUAGCCGGCGGAUUAAACGGUUUAAACAGCUCAGCUAUGAUUGAUGGAGGAGAUUUCGACGGUGCAAAGGCUUACAAAGACAGUAAAGUCUGCAAUAUGUUGACAAUGCAAGAGUUUCACAGGCGUUUCCAUGAAGAAACUGGAGUCACUUUCGCUUCGCUUUACCCCGGUUGCAUCGCCUCCACAGGUUUAUUCCGAGAGCACAUUCCUCUCUUCCGUGCCCUCUUCCCUCCCUUUCAGAAGUACAUCACUAAAGGAUAUGUCUCCGAAACAGAGUCAGGCAAAAGACUUGCUCAGGU
This 362-nucleotide small RNA is filed under the name Arabidopsis thaliana (thale cress). RNAcentral's name for it is "ATSL230270". Lineage: Eukaryota; Viridiplantae; Streptophyta; Magnoliopsida; Brassicales; Brassicaceae. The record is from RNAcentral.